AGCAGCCGCGGUAAUUCCAGCUCCAAUAGCGUAUAUUAAAGUUGUUGCAGUUAAAAAGCUCGUAGUUGAAUUUCGGGGUUAGUACGCUGGUCAUGCCUUCGGUAUGUACUGGUGUUACCGAUUCCUACCUUCUGAAGAACCGUCAUGUCAUUAGUUUGGUGUGGCGGGGAAUCAGGACUGUUACUUUGAAAAAAUUAGAGUGUUUAAAGCAGGCUCGCGCUUGAAUACAUUAGCAUGGAAUAAUGAAAUAGGACGUUCGAUCCUAUUUUGUUGGUUUCUAGGAUUGACGUAAUGAUUAAUAGGGAUAGUUGGGGGCAUUAGUAUUCAAUUGUCAGAGGUGAAAUUCUUGGAUUUAUUGAAGACUAACUACUGCGAGAGCAUUUGCCAAGGAUGUUUUCAUUAAUCAAGAACGAAAGUUAGGGGAUCGAAGACCGAUCAGAUACCGUCAUAGUCUUAACCAUAAACUAUGCCGACUAGGGAUCGGAUGAUGUUAUUUUUAAUUGACUCAUUCGGCGCCG
RNAcentral lists this ribosomal RNA (518 nucleotides) under uncultured Glomus. RNAcentral's name for it is "SSU rRNA". It matches the Rfam family "Eukaryotic small subunit ribosomal RNA", at positions 569 to 1088 of the family's 1831-position model. The record is from RNAcentral. Lineage: Eukaryota; Fungi; Glomeromycota; Glomeromycetes; Glomerales; Glomeraceae.